Molecule: unclassified non-coding RNA, 231 nt
Filed under: Hevea brasiliensis (rubber tree)
Lineage: Eukaryota; Viridiplantae; Streptophyta; Magnoliopsida; Malpighiales; Euphorbiaceae
Source: RNAcentral
GCAGUAUUGAUACCAAUUAAGUUUCCUUUUGAAUCAAGUAGAGGACCUCCACUAUUCCCAGGAUUGAUAGCUGCAUCUGUUUGGAUUCCACCCCCGAUGGUGACACCAGUUUGACUAAAAAUGUCGCGAUUUAGUCCACUGAUGACUCCAACUGUGAGAGUAUGAUCAAAACCAAAAGGAUUUCCAAUUGCCAAGCACUGUUGCCCCACUUUAAGAGAAGAUGACUGCCCG